GAUGAACGCUGGCGGCGUGCCUAAUACAUGCAAGUCGAGCGAACAGAUGAGGAGCUUGCUCCUCUGACGUUAGCGGCGGACAGGUGAGUAACACGUGGAUAACCUACCUAUAAGACUGGGAUAACUUCGGGAAACCGGAGCUAAUACCGGAUAAUAUAUUGAACCGCAUGGUUCAAUAGUGAAAGACGGUUUUGCUGUCACUUAUAGAUGGAUCCGCGCCGCAUUAGCUAGUUGGUAAGGUAACGGCUUACCAAGGCAACGAUGCGUAGCCGACCUGAGAGGGUGAUCGGCCACACUGGAACUGAGACACGGCCCAGACUCUUACGGGAGGCAGCAGUAGGGAAUCUUCCGCAAUGGGCGAAAGCCUGACGGAGCAACGCCGCGUGAGUGAUGAAGGUCUUCGGAUCGUAAAACUCUGUUAUUAGGGAAGAACAAAUGUGUAAGUAACUAUGCACGUCUUGACGGUACCUAAUCAGAAAGCCACGGCUAACUACGUG
This 497-nucleotide ribosomal RNA is filed under the name uncultured bacterium. Its description in RNAcentral is "partial 16S ribosomal RNA". It matches the Rfam family "Bacterial small subunit ribosomal RNA", at positions 28 to 507 of the family's 1533-position model. The record is from RNAcentral.